GGCUGUAAUAGAGCGUUUGACUACGAAUCAAAAGGUCGCAGGUUCGAAUCCUGC
This 54-nucleotide transfer RNA is filed under the name Sporomusa sp. An4. It matches the Rfam family "tRNA", at positions 1 to 63 of the family's 71-position model. Rfam says of the family: Transfer RNA (tRNA) molecules are approximately 80 nucleotides in length. Their secondary structure includes four short double-helical elements and three loops (D, anti-codon, and T loops). Further hydrogen bonds mediate the characteristic L-shaped molecular structure. tRNAs have two regions of fundamental functional importance: the anti-codon, which is responsible for specific mRNA codon recognition, and the 3' end, to which the tRNAs corresponding amino acid is attached (by aminoacyl-tRNA synthetases). tRNAs cope with the degeneracy of the genetic code in two manners: having more than one tRNA (with a specific anti-codon) for a particular amino acid; and 'wobble' base-pairing, i.e. permitting non-standard base-pairing at the 3rd anti-codon position. Lineage: Bacteria; Bacillati; Bacillota; Negativicutes; Selenomonadales; Sporomusaceae. The record is from Rfam by way of RNAcentral.